ACAUAUACAUAUACAUAUACAUAUACAUAUACAUAUACAUAUAUUGUACAAACAGACUUCAGAAUUACUGCCUGCUGUGCAGAACAAGAGGAGCUAACCACCUCUUCUAGAUCCUCUUUGAUUUGUGGCAACAAACAUCCCCACUUUUCUUUGAAAAUCAGCAUAAGGUUAUAUUGUGUACAUGUGUUGUUUUCUAUCCCCUCGGUUCUCUCGGCGUCUGAGAUACGUUGCACCUGCUGGAAGAUGUAGAAUAUAUCUCAGCCUCACAAUAACAACUGUGCUUUGAGAACUGUCCUUAACCAGCAGAACUGGGAGGCUGGCAUAUGGAAGAUAUGGAAGACAUGGAAGAAGAGGAUGGGGAAAAGAUCUUCUGCUCUGUGUGAGAACCAAGAAUUUGGAAUAUAUUUCAGCAAACAUUAACCAAUUGACCUUCCUGCUGGAUAUGUGCUGGGCUGUGGCCUCAUUGAGAGAUUCCAAAUUAAUCACACGCCUCUUCAAAAGGUGUCUGAGGGAGGUUUCUCUGCAGAGACUAUUGAUGUGCUUCCAGCUCUCUUGGACUCUCUGGAUGAUAAAGAGGUAGCGAGCAGAACGGGAUGAACUGAAUCAACAAGAGACAAAGUGAAUUACAAGUUGCCCAAACAAUCAGGCCAGAUAGCUGGAAAUCAAGGGCAAGCUUCCCUGUGACCUGUGCUGCUUCUCUCCAAGCACUGCUUCUUCUUUCCAGCUUCUUCUGGGAAGAAAUUCUUCAUGUUCUGUCUUCUGCCAAGUGGAUCAGAGCCAGCACAACAGAUGGAGUCUUUUACACCACCCUCGUGCCUGCUUUACACCAGGCAUGGUGCGCAGCAGCCCAGGCAGAAAUGCUUCUGGCAGAGCACGGGAAGUGGAGCCCUCUGACAUUCCUCCUGACUCAGUUCAGUUGCAGCCCUGAUCUAGGGCUUCAGAAAAGUCCAGUUACGUGCUUCUGCUGUCUUCCUUAUGCGCUCCUUAAUAAAGCAUUAAUUACUCUGAUACA
Lagopus leucura (white-tailed ptarmigan) is the source of this 1012-nucleotide long non-coding RNA. RefSeq lists it as uncharacterized. The transcript has 3 exons. NCBI's taxonomy places the organism in Eukaryota, Metazoa, Chordata, Aves, Galliformes, Phasianidae. The record is from RefSeq and is a predicted model, not a curated record.